UGGAUGAUGUGGAUUAAUUCGAUGCAACGCGAAAACCUUACUACCCUUGACAUGUCCGGAAUCCCGAAGAGAUUUGGGAGUGCUCGCAAGAGAACCGGAACACAGGUGCUGCAUGGCUGUCGUCAGCUCGUGUCGCGAGAUGUUGGGUUAAGUCCCGCAACGAGCGCAACCCUUGUCAUUAGUUGCCAUCAUUUGGUUGGGCACUCUAAUGAGACUGCCGGCGACAAACCGGAGGAAGGUGGGGAUGACGUCAAGUCCUCAUGGCCCUUAUGGGUAGGGCUUCACACGUCAUACAAUGGUCGGUACAGAGGGUUGCCAACCCGCGAGGGGGAGCUAAUCCCACAAAGCCGAUCGUAGUCCGGAUCGCAGUCUGCAACUCGACUGCGUGAAGUCGGAAUCGCUAGUAAUCGUGGAUCAGCAUGUCACGGUGAAUACGUUCCCGGGUCUU
Molecule: ribosomal RNA, 448 nt
Filed under: uncultured Rhodocyclaceae bacterium
Lineage: Bacteria; Pseudomonadati; Pseudomonadota; Betaproteobacteria; Rhodocyclales; Rhodocyclaceae
Description: bacterial SSU rRNA
Rfam family: Bacterial small subunit ribosomal RNA
Source: RNAcentral